RNAcentral lists this small RNA (1916 nucleotides) under Rattus norvegicus (Norway rat). Its description in RNAcentral is "uncharacterized LOC108350396". The record is from RNAcentral. Lineage: Eukaryota; Metazoa; Chordata; Mammalia; Rodentia; Muridae.
AUGGGUGAUAGGUUGCAAGGAAGGUUAAAGUAUCUAAGAACCAGCAUUAAAAAUAGGAUUUGAUAAAAGUAAAGUUACAUCACAGGCAUUUGGUUAUGGUCGUAGAAAGCUAACAAGCACUGAUGGUGUUUCCUCAAUCCAAUAGAAGUAGCCCUAGGGAGGACUUGAAGUCCCUCUGGCCAGAGCACAUAGCUUUUUAAUUAACUGCCUUGGACCCAGAUAUAAGCGCAGUAUGUAACUUUGGGGAACCUACAGUUGACAACACUGGGUUUUUACUAGAAUGGAGACUUUAUUUUCUGGAAAUAAUCUGAGAUAUAAACAUACUUUGUUUUUGAUUAAGGGCAAAGGUAUGACAUGGUCUCAUGAGACUCAAUCAAGUGAAUGAAAUUGGGACUAGAGCCUGCUGGAUACUAUCCAGUGCGUGCGAGGAAGAUGUCGGAGAUGCUUGGGGAUGAGCUCACCCCGAAACCUACACACAGACACCAUCCUGGUAGAUCCACUCUGCAAGCGUUGCUCUCCCUGCGGCAGGACUGACUGGAUCCAGGGGACACCACAGCAGAGGAGCAGAGGAGCGUCUGCUUUGAAGAGAAAACAGACUUUUUAUUAGAAGUCACUGGAAAGAAGUUACCUUUGCCUCUAAGAAGGCUGGGAUGACACUCAAUAAAAUCCAACUGUCUGCAUGUGCCAUAUUUUCACUUUCCAUUCACCAGUCAAUAGACAUCUAGGCUGAUGUGACUUCCUCCAGAAUAUAGAAAACUACAGCAACCAUGAACGUGAGUAUGUGGGUGUCUCUGUAGUGGGGUGGGGAAAGUCUGAGAACAUUUGAGCUACACAGUGAGAGUCUGUCUGGAAAAAGAUCUAUUUCAGCACCGUUCUCUCCCACUUCUGCCUGUGGAAGCCAUCUCUGUCUGUUUCUUCUGAUUACAGGCUACAUUUUCUUCGCUGUGGCAAGUCCGAUGGUUUUUCUCAUCCCUGGGAUUUCAGAUACUGUGAAUGUAAUGUUGCUGGAUGGAUGGCUGUUUGCUUUCCUUUAAAUAAUCUUGAGUUUGCUCUGACUAACAAGCUAGUUGCUUUUCCACCUGAUUCUAUCCAGACUGGUCUCAGCUUUUCUAUACACAGCUCCACUGCAGGGGCUGCUCGAGUUUACUAAGGGAUGCCCUGCGAACUUGACCAAAUACCUUGAGUGACCAACGAGAGCUUCCUGGCUAAAUGGCUAAUGGUUUAGCUGUGCCCUGCUCUGAGAACUGGCAAGUCCCCGCCCAUGCUAUGUUCUGGCUUGUGGGAUCUUUUAUCCCACGUGUGCUCAGUCUAAUAGUUUGCAAAGACACCCGACUUAUCCUGUGCAGACUGCGGUAGCUCCAUUUUGCACAGUGUUCUCUUUCAGAAGGCGCACAUCUUAAGUUCCAGUCUCCUUCUCAGUAAACCUACUGUACUUGGGUUGAGUCUUUUCCUGCAUUUUGGCCUGAAAACUGUGUGAACCAGCCAAGGUUGGUAGUGGAAUCUAUCGUUUCAUUUUUAUAUCCUAAGCAUCAGGGCUCUGAGGUCUGAGCUCCUCUGUCUGUGAAUAGUUGCCCACAGAUUUUGUCCAGUUUCUUGGCUGCUUGCAGCAGAGAGACAAAUCUGGUUCCUGGGACUCAUCCUUAAAGGAAACAGGACAAGGGAAUGGCUUAAAAUUUGAAUCCAAACAGAGCUAGUAAGACACCAGAGUCAGUAUGACUCCAGUCUUUUACUCUUGACGUUGUUGGUGACUGUCUCUCAUCCCAUUGGUGCAAGAUGACUUUACACGCUGACAUGAUUGGCUAAUUAGCUCAAAGGGGAAGAGAAAAUUUCAGGAGAUUUAAAUCUUUGCCAAGGGACCUACAGUUGCUUUGGUCUACUGAAUCAAAGUUGAGUUUUGUUUUUGUUUUGUCUGCUUU